This is a long non-coding RNA of Lingula anatina, 1028 nucleotides long. The record is from RefSeq and is a predicted model, not a curated record. Lineage: Eukaryota; Metazoa; Brachiopoda; Lingulata; Lingulida; Lingulidae.
GGGACAAAAAAGAGGAUUAAAAACGCCUUUUUAGUGCAUGGAUUGCUUCUUUUUUAACUUAUCUGAGAACAAUUGCUAUGGGUAAAGCAUAAAAUGGCAGGUAAAUGGCCUUAAUCAAUAUCGAAAAAAAGAAUCAUAUUCACCGUCCACUUUCGAACCCCGGGCGUCAGCCAUCUUGACACAGUUUGAAAUAACGCGGCUUCUCGACUCAAAUACGAGAUGUAAACAAUGCAGACAGCAUGUCGUUUCGAAGGUGAACGUGGACGUGAAGGAGAAGAGGAAUUGCUCACCGAAUCUUUGCAGCCUUUCAGAGGAGGAAUUGGGUGAUACACCCCUUCAAGCACGAGUGGAGAGAUCAGUGCCUCAAGUUUUAUCUGGAAAACUCAUACCAGGAAGCACUCCAAUCUUACAAUACUGCAUCACUUCAAUGUCGGCGGGACAAGUUGUGUAAAAGACUGCUACAAAAAAUUUGCAUUGAUGACCACAUGAUCCACCACCUUUUACCAAAACCGAGUGAAAGGUUUUAUAUUAUAAUGCCUAUGUACAUGUAUUUAAAGUGACAAGACUGAGAUCAGCGAGAGCCUCAAGGACUUUAUUUUCUGGGCAUUGUCAACUCUUCAAUAGUUUUAUAAUUUUGCCACAUACAUCCAAAGAUUCAAUUCUAAUGCAAUUCUUGAAAACUUUUUUAGAAUAUAAUUUAAUGUCGAACAUGUUUUUAUAAGAACUAGACCUUUAGUAAAUUAACAAUAUGUAUUAUCCAACUGUUAUUAUUAAUUAACAUAUUGUUAUGUACAAAGCAUAAGCUGCAGUAACAAUGUAGCAUUAACUGGGUAGAGAUUAUGAAUGAAAUAAAAGUUCAAAUAUUGAAACAUCUUUUAUUUAUAUUUGGAAAAAAUACAAGAAUAAACAAAGUUUGCUACAUAAGUUUGGAAUUUGGCCAAAUCAUCUUUAUUAUUACCUGUCACAUGUAAUGAAUAAGACAUAUACAGAUUUUGGAAGCUAGAAUGCAUAAUUAUUUUCAUACUUAU